UACGGAGGGUGCGAGCGUUGUCCGGAUUUAUUGGGUUUAAAGGGUGCGUAGGUGGCUAGUUAAGUCAGUGGUGAAAUACAGCCGCUCAACGGUUGAGGUGCCAUUGAUACUGAUUGGCUUGAAAUAAUUGGAGGCUGCCGGAAUGGAUGGUGUAGCGGUGAAAUGCAUAGAUAUCAUCCAGAACACCGAUUGCGAAGGCAGGUGGCUACGAUUUAUUUGACACUGAGGCACGAAAGCAUGGGGAGCAAACAGG
Molecule: ribosomal RNA, 253 nt
Filed under: uncultured bacterium
Lineage: Bacteria
Description: partial 16S ribosomal RNA
Rfam family: Bacterial small subunit ribosomal RNA
Source: RNAcentral